This is a long non-coding RNA of Cyprinus carpio (common carp), 546 nucleotides long. The record is from Ensembl. Lineage: Eukaryota; Metazoa; Chordata; Actinopteri; Cypriniformes; Cyprinidae.
UUUGGGUGAAUUAUCCCUUUAAGAUGUCAAUAAUGACAUUCAAGAAGGCCACACUUUCCUUAGCCAAACCCUGUAAACCCCCCAGGCAUCAGAGGGGUCGUAGAAGGUCAGUAACAUUGACAGACACUGCAAUGUAGCUGAAAGUGAUUCUUUAACACAGAUCUGAGGUCAGUGUGCUGGUUAUUGCUCCACAGGCUCAGGGGCUGCACAUAAGACACGCCACUCUCUGAUCUGCUAUUUGUUGCUGAUCUCUGUAAACACAAAGUGCUAUUCUGAGGAGCAUCUUCAUGUUGGUCAUACCCCAUCUGCACAAGCAACACCCCCGCAGGGCCAAGUGUGGUCAGCAGAUGACUAGCAGGAAGGGGAGAUGUUUAUACGUGAAGAUGACUUGCUAACAUGGAAAAAGAGUUAUUUUCCCAGACACGCCACCUGCAAGUGUUCUGCAUUGCUCUGGACCAUCCAUGUACGACACAACAAGUCUUCUGGAAAAUGAGUUUGGGGGUCUCUGAGAAAACAUUGUGGCUGGUUAAACUGCUUCAUGGAUAG